GACGAACGCUGGCGGCGUGCUUAACACAUGCAAGUCGAACGGAAAGGCCCUGCUUUUGUGGGGUGCUCGAGUGGCGAACGGGUGAGUAACACGUGAGUAACCUGCCCUUGACUUUGGGAUAACUUCAGGAAACUGGGGCUAAUACCGGAUAGGAGCUCCUGCUGCAUGUUGGGGGUUGGAAAGUUUCGGCGGUUGGGGAUGGACUCGCGGCUUAUCAGCUUGUUGGUGGGGUAGUGGCUUACCAAGGCUUUGACGGGUAGCCGGCCUGAGAGGGUGACCGGCCACAUUGGGACUGAGAUACGGCCCAGACUCCUACGGGAGGCAGCAGUGGGGAAUAUUGCACAAUGGGCGGAAGCCUGAUGCAGCAACGCCGCGUGCGGGAUGACGGCCUUCGGGUUGUAAACCGCUUUCGCAUGUGACGAAGCGGGAGUGACGGUAAUGGGUAAAGAAGCACCGGCUAACUACGUG
Molecule: ribosomal RNA, 468 nt
Filed under: uncultured bacterium
Lineage: Bacteria
Description: partial 16S ribosomal RNA
Rfam family: Bacterial small subunit ribosomal RNA
Source: RNAcentral